Molecule: long non-coding RNA, 1370 nt
Organism: Limulus polyphemus (Atlantic horseshoe crab)
Lineage: Eukaryota; Metazoa; Arthropoda; Merostomata; Xiphosura; Limulidae
Exons: 2
Source: RefSeq, a predicted model, not a curated record
UGUAUUUGAAAGACAUGGCGGAGAAAAAAAUGCAAAGCUAGUGGGUAUGAUUAUAAACAUAUAUAGGAAGUAUAUAAUAAUCCUACAAAGUUAAUCAGCUAUAGAUAAACGUAGGGCUUUGGGGUGAAUACCAGGUGGAAACAUGGACUCAGUUUACUGGAACAAAAUGAAAAUUGGGAACAUUUGGAAUUUAUGGUUGUAGAUGAACAAUGAAGAUCAGCUACACAGAAAGAAAAAAUAAUGGAAUGUCAAAGAUAAAAAGACAACUGUGAACAUAUGUAGGAAAUGGAAAAUGGACUACUUUGGGCAUAUAUUUAGAUCUGAGGGAAUGUUGGCUGAGAUUCUGAAGAGUAAAACUGUAGGAAGAGCAAUGAGAGACAGGAAGAAACUUGUGGUUUGAUGGUGUUAGUAAAUAGAUUAGAGAUGAGAAUCUUGAAUUAGGAAAGUUGAUGCAGACAGCAAAAAAAGAAAGAAAAAAUGAGAACCACAGUAUCAACCUUCAGAACUAAUUGAUAGGUUUUAAUUAGGAGUUUGUAAUGUUAUAAACAAAAAGCUAUAAUGAUUAGAAUGUAUUAAUUCAUCUGUUAUGUACCCUCACCAUUACUGAUAUUUUCAGCUGUAAUCCCAGUAAUAUCUCAUGAGGUUUGGCCUGCUUAAGAGAUAUUUAGGUUAAUUCUAAAUUCAUAUACUGAGUUAAAAAUGAAAAAUAAUCCAUGUGAUAAAAUAAGAAGUAUAAUAAAUUAAGAAUAAUAAAAGUAUUCUAUAUAUUAAAUAUUUUAACCAAUAGUGUUAAUGAAACUAACAUUAAAGAUAGAAUAGAACAUAACAUUACUUAUAAGACAUAUAAAAACAAGUAGUUUUCUUCAUGCAUUAUCACUGAUGUCCUCUAAUUGGGACCAAACCUGAACUUUCCUUUUUCAGUAAUAAUACUUGGGGACUUUUAUUAUUAUUAUUAUUAUACAUGUGUAAAUGCUGGGAUUAUGUGUAUUCAUUGUGUCUUAUGUCAUUUAUAACUUUUACUGUUUUCUGCAAUACAAACAAAAACAUGUAUAACUAUUCUUGUAGUAGUUUUAACUUUCACAGGAUUUCAGCAGAAAGGAGGAUUUUAAUUGUAUAAAAAUAUGUGUAGUUUCUGUUUAGUUGAAAAACAGUGACAUAAGUAACAGUGGCCCCUAAUUAUUAACAGUAAUUUAUGUGUUGAUGAAUUAACUUGUCAGGACACUUCAAGUUUAAAAUGUUUACACUAAAAUUGAAAUAAGGUGGAUUACUGCGUGAAAAGUUCUUAUAUAUUCAGUAUACAAUUAAGUUGUGCAUAUCUUUGUAAUAAUGGUAAAAUUGAUAAAUAAAAAAAAGAGAUUUAAAACUUUCAA